GAAAAUCCAGCGCCAUCAGAUCAUCUCAUUAAUUGAUGUGGCAAUGAUCAUAUGGCUCUAAGGCGCGGAAACACGAUGCUCUCAAAUCAAGCGUGCAACACAUUGUAUUAAAACAAUUCAACAUAUGCAAUGGCUAAGAUUAAAACGUUUCAGCAUGAUCCAAAGGCUAGGAGGCUACCACAUGGGGAUGGUGGUGGAAACCACCAUCUUCU
This 212-nucleotide long non-coding RNA is filed under the name Lathyrus oleraceus (garden pea). Its description in RNAcentral is "Pisum sativum (pea) long non-coding RNA (PSAT_LNC011344)". The record is from RNAcentral. Lineage: Eukaryota; Viridiplantae; Streptophyta; Magnoliopsida; Fabales; Fabaceae.